This 468-nucleotide ribosomal RNA is filed under the name uncultured bacterium. RNAcentral describes it as "partial 16S ribosomal RNA". It matches the Rfam family "Bacterial small subunit ribosomal RNA", at positions 28 to 507 of the family's 1533-position model. The record is from RNAcentral.
GACGAACGCUGGCGGCGUGCUUAACACAUGCAAGUCGAACGGAAAGGCCCUGCUUUUGUGGGGUGCUCGAGUGGCGAACGGGUGAGUAACACGUGAGUAACCUGCCCUUGACUUUGGGAUAACUUCAGGAAACUGGGGCUAAUACCGGAUAGGAGCUCCUGCUGCAUGGUGGGGGUUGGAAAGUUUCGGCGGUUGGGGAUGGACUCGCGGCUUAUCAGCUUGUUGGUGGGGUAGUGGCUUACCAAGGCUUUGACGGGUAGCCGGCUUGAGAGGGUGACCGGCCACAUUGGGACUGAGAUACGGCCAAGACUCCUACGUGAGGCAGCAGUGGGGAAUAUUGCACAAUGGGCGGAAGCCUGAUGCAGCAACGCCGGGUGCGGGAUGACGGCCUUCGGGUUGUAAACCGCUUUCGCCUGUGACGAAGCGUGAGUGACGGUAAUGGGUAAAGAAGCACCGGCUAACUACGUG